GACGAACGCUGGCGGCGUGCUUAACACAUGCAAGUCGAACGAUGAAGCAAAGAAUCGAAGCUUCGGCAGAAAUUCAUUUCGGAUUAGUGGCAGACGGGUGAGUAACGCGUGAUCAACCUACCUCUUACAAAGGGAUAGCCUCGGGAAACCGGGAUUCAUACCAUAUCACAUUGCGACGAAGCAUUUCGCUGCAAUCAAAGCUACGGCGGUAAGAGAUGGGCUCGCGUCCCAUUAACCGGAUGGUGAGGUAACGGCUCACCAUAGUGACGAUGGGUAACCGGCCUGAGAGGGUGAACGGUCACACUGGAACUGAGACACGGUCCAGACUCCUACGGGAGGCAGCAGUGGGGAAUAUUGCACAAUGGAGGGAACUCUGAUGCAGCGACGCCGGGUGAGUGAUGAAGGAAUUCGUUUCGUAAAACUCUGUUCUAUGGGAAGAAAAGGACUGUACCAUAGGAGAAAGCUCCGGCUAAAUACGUG
RNAcentral lists this ribosomal RNA (480 nucleotides) under uncultured bacterium. RNAcentral's name for it is "partial 16S ribosomal RNA". It matches the Rfam family "Bacterial small subunit ribosomal RNA", at positions 28 to 507 of the family's 1533-position model. The record is from RNAcentral.